RNAcentral lists this ribosomal RNA (471 nucleotides) under Escherichia coli. Its description in RNAcentral is "partial 23S ribosomal RNA". It matches the Rfam family "Bacterial large subunit ribosomal RNA", at positions 2261 to 2731 of the family's 2925-position model. Lineage: Bacteria; Pseudomonadati; Pseudomonadota; Gammaproteobacteria; Enterobacterales; Enterobacteriaceae. The record is from RNAcentral. RNAcentral also lists the same sequence under 2 other names.
GUGGGUAGUUUGACUGGGGCGGUCUCCUCCUAAAGAGUAACGGAGGAGCACGAAGGUUGGCUAAUCCUGGUCGGACAUCAGGAGGUUAGUGCAAUGGCAUAAGCCAGCUUGACUGCGAGCGUGACGGCGCGAGCAGGUGCGAAAGCAGGUCAUAGUGAUCCGGUGGUUCUGAAUGGAAGGGCCAUCGCUCAACGGAUAAAAGGUACUCCGGGGAUAACAGGCUGAUACCGCCCAAGAGUUCAUAUCGACGGCGGUGUUUGGCACCUCGAUGUCGGCUCAUCACAUCCUGGGGCUGAAGUAGGUCCCAAGGGUAUGGCUGUUCGCCAUUUAAAGUGGUACGCGAGCUGGGUUUAGAACGUCGUGAGACAGUUCGGUCCCUAUCUGCCGUGGGCGCUGGAGAACUGAGGGGGGCUGCUCCUAGUACGAGAGGACCGGAGUGGACGCAUCACUGGUGUUCGGGUUGUCAUGCCA